UUUUAUGGUGGUCAUGCGUGGGGCUCGUUCGCGAGCGCCGGGUUCCUAUUGCAGCCGGUCUACCAACCCGCGUAUGGCCGCCACCCUC
This 88-nucleotide non-coding RNA is filed under the name Pseudomonas koreensis. The record is from RNAcentral. Lineage: Bacteria; Pseudomonadati; Pseudomonadota; Gammaproteobacteria; Pseudomonadales; Pseudomonadaceae.